GACGAACGCUGGCGGCGUGCUUAACACAUGCAAGUCGAACGGAAAGGCCCUGCUUUUGUGGGGUGCUCGAGUGGCGAACGGGUGAGUAACACGUGAGUAACCUGCCCUUGACUUUGGGAUAACUUCAGGAAACUGGGGCUAAUACCGGAUAGGAGCUCCUGCUGCAUGGUGGGGGUUGGAAAGUUUCGGCGGUUGGGGAUGGACUCGCGGCUUAUCAGCUUGUUGGUGGGGUAGUGGCUUACCAAGGCUUUGACGGGUAGCCGGCCUGAGAGGGUGACCGGCCACAUUGGGACUGAGAUACGGCCGAGACUCCUACGGGAGGCAGCAGUGGGGAAUAUUGCACAAUGGGCGGAAGCCUGAUGCAGCAACGCCGGGUGCGGGAUGACGGCCGUCGGGUUGUAAACCGCUUUCGCCUGUGAGGAAGCGUGUGUGACGGUAAUGGGUAAAGAAGCACCGGCUAACUACGUG
Molecule: ribosomal RNA, 468 nt
Filed under: uncultured bacterium
Lineage: Bacteria
Description: partial 16S ribosomal RNA
Rfam family: Bacterial small subunit ribosomal RNA
Source: RNAcentral